AGGUCCUCAUCCUCAUCCUUCAGGUACUACAAUGCAAAGAGGAGACGCCACCGUAAAAACUGGGAGCAGAUCUCAGAACAGAUGAUGGAGCCGCCUCACCUGCACCCACAGUCACAGCUAUUUAUCAGGAAAAGCAGACCAUGGACUCCGGACCCCAGGGUGAGCGUGGGGGAAUGGUUAGAGCAUCGGUCCCUCUACCAGAAGAACACCAUGUAAGCACAGCAUGGAGCUUCCCCGGCUAACCAGUCAGGAAACAUCACUCAGCAUCCAGUAACUGGCCUGACGACAGUGACCUCCAACCAGGGUUAUUAUUGCUAACGAAAACUACAACUAUAAG
Molecule: long non-coding RNA, 337 nt
Organism: Paramormyrops kingsleyae
Lineage: Eukaryota; Metazoa; Chordata; Actinopteri; Osteoglossiformes; Mormyridae
Source: RefSeq, a predicted model, not a curated record